Arachis ipaensis is the source of this 692-nucleotide non-coding RNA. The record is from RefSeq and is a predicted model, not a curated record. Lineage: Eukaryota; Viridiplantae; Streptophyta; Magnoliopsida; Fabales; Fabaceae.
UUAUUGUGCAGCGAAAGCUCUUGUUGAGAUGCAUAACUGGAAGGACUUGUUAGAGAAUGACCAAGUAUGUUGCUUUCUUUUUUCCCAUUGCUCCUUUCUCAAAUCUUACCUUACUCAUCAUUUGAUAUCUUUUGCUUUCAGCUGCAAAUAGAGCAGAGGCAAGGUCGAGUAUUCAAAGGAUGGAACAAAGGGAAAAUAUACUUCCCCCCCACAUACAAGUAUUCAAACAACUCAGGCAGGUAUGCAGGAGAUGGAAGACAUUCAAAACAAAAGAGAACUCCAGCAUGGUGUGAUAGAAUCUUAUGGCAUGGGAGAGGUCUUCACCAAUUAUCUUACGUUCGUGGGGAGUCAAGAUUCUCUGAUCAUAGACCUGUGUAGAGCAUAUUCUCAGCAGAAGUUGAUCAAAGAAGCUCUAGUGGCCAAAAUAUUUCAGCAAAACUAGCAUUCAACAUUCCAAAACCAGCAAAACCAGCAACUACAAAACAUUAAAAUCUGCCUACAGCAUUAAGCAUUUAGCACAUUAUGAAACAUUCCAAAACACUAAAUCUUCACCCAGCAAAACCAACAACUACAAAACAAAGCCAUUAGCAAAUUUGAACAAAAAAAGUAGGAGCCAUCAGCAACUAGUAAACCAUAUAACAAACUAACAGAGCCAUCAGUAAACUAACAGAGCAAUCGAGCCAUUGAGCAAU